Molecule: ribosomal RNA, 404 nt
Filed under: uncultured bacterium
Lineage: Bacteria
Also listed under: 1 other name
Description: partial 16S ribosomal RNA
Rfam family: Bacterial small subunit ribosomal RNA
Source: RNAcentral
UGGGGAAUAUUGCACAAUGGGCGCAAGCCUGAUGCAGCGACGCCGCGUGAAGGAUGAAGGUCUUCGGAUCGUAAACUUCUAUCAGCAGGGAAGAAACCAUGACGGUACCUGACUAAGAAGCCCCGGCUAACUACGUGCCAGCAGCCGCGGUAAUACGUAGGGGGCAAGCGUUAUCCGGAAUUACUGGGUGUAAAGGGUGCGUAGGCGGCGAUUUAAGUCAGAUGUGAAAACUCAGGGCUCAACCUUGAGACUGCAUCUGAAACUGAGUUGCUAGAGUGCAGGAGAGGAAAGCGGAAUUCCGAGUGUAGCGGUGAAAUGCGUAGAGAUUCGGAGGAACACCAGUAGCGAAGGCGGCUUUCUGGACUGUAACUGACGCUGAGGCACGAAAGCGUGGGGAGCGAACA